GGAAGCGUUUCGUCACCGGUGUGGCGUCCGGUCUUCAAAACCGGUGUAGGGCAGUGAUGUCCUAGGUAGGUUCGACUCCUAUACGCUUCCGCCA
This 94-nucleotide transfer RNA is filed under the name Halodesulfovibrio aestuarii. Its description in RNAcentral is "tRNA-Sec". It matches the Rfam family "Selenocysteine transfer RNA". The record is from RNAcentral. RNAcentral also lists the same sequence under 7 other names. Lineage: Bacteria; Pseudomonadati; Thermodesulfobacteriota; Desulfovibrionia; Desulfovibrionales; Desulfovibrionaceae.